CCUGAGAUGCCUGAGCAAACAGCCAGCGUGUCGCUUUCCUGCCUUUUUUUUCCUUCUCAAACUCAGCCUCAUUGCUUGCAGGGGGAAGGCAGACACUGUCUGCUGACUAAUUUCCACUUGUUUCGAUAGUCGGAUGACAAUAUGAUUAAUUAUCAUCACGGUGUCACCGAGCCGGGUGAAGGCUGCCUCGCACCUUCUGGAAGCUGUGUUGAAAUUCCUGAGAUGAUUUCGCUCGUGCUCCUUCAUUUCUAUUUCCUUUGGGCACUUUAGCAGCCAAGCUUAGAAGUGAGAAAACACUUCAUCCAGCCCUGGGGCUGCUUCUGAACCUGCAGUGCUGCUGUGCGGUGUUCAGACUGGUAUAGCAGCAGGUUUAAGUGAAGACAAUGACACAAGAUCAAGCUAUUGGCUUGCUCAGGACUGAGGAGGCUCUUCUGGAGGGAGGAAUUGUCCUGCUGCAUCCUACAUGAUGUUAAACAACACAAACAGGAGUCAUUACCAGCUAUCCUUGCACUGGGCAGCACAAAUACCUUGUUAAAUGUGCACUAACUUCCUCCAGCCACUGUGCUCCCUAUGCUGGUUCUUGAACAUCCCGACCCAUGUGGCACCAUCACUGCCUGUACUGGAGGGAUGCUGUGGCUGUGGGGCAUCUCCACACAUCUCCUGUUGGAUUUUAUGCCAAAGUUCCUCCUCCCACAUCAUUUUGGCAAGUCUCAGGCUCUGCAUGUAUAGCAGAAGCUGACGGCUGGGGAAAGGCAGCUGAAGGUCACCCCUCCGUUCCCUUAUUAUGAGCAUCCCAAAGAGGUGACCGGUGAGAAAGGCAAACGAGUCGCUGACGGUCAAAGUUCAUUUUUCUUGUAAUUAGCAGAUUGCAUGAAAGUUCAGGAGCUUCCACAGAAUAAGAGUUAAAGAUUGAGUUCACUCACCUGUCCCUACAAUUAACAGCUAUAAAGGUGUCACUGGGAUAAAAAGUGAGAGAAAGUAGAAGGCAGACUCCAAUUUACCCACAAUUAAGGUGCAGGGAGUGCCGGGGGUUUGUGUGCUCAUGCUUAGCCCCUGGAUGGAGGAGAUUUAACACCCCACUUCAAUUUUCCCACAAUUAGCCCCUCCCCAGAAGAUGCCAUUGACCUCAUCAGCUUGGAGACUGAGUUCCAGGGUUAAUUUUUUCUGUUGCUGCCUAAUGAACAGUGCCAAAGAGGGAUGCUGGGUUCACUUCUUGGCAGAGCAGUACAGAAAAAAGCUUUUUUUUUUCAGCUUGCUGACCAAAGCCGCAAGAAUUCUGUCUCUGUAUAUUCAAAGCCACUUGGGGCCAGUGGGAUAUGAAGAUGCCUUUCUGCUACGGCUGCACAAAGAGCAUCCAGAAGGAGGUGGCUUUUGGUUUCCUUUUCUCACCAUGGAGGCUGUGUAAAUGUGUCCCAGGGACUCCUUGCCACCCCAAUGUAAUUAUUUUAGGGAAGAAAUUGCUUACUUCGCAUUUUCUUGUCAUUUUACUUGGGUGUGAAAGUGUUCUUAAUUUAGGUGUGGAGGCUGUGGCCGUGCCAUCACCUCCAGCACCUGUUCAUCGAUAAUCACACUGCUCCUCCCGGGCUCCCCAGGAGCAGCACAGGGGCAGGUAGGUUUUGGUCUGCUUUCCCCAGUAAAUGAGCCUCAGGCAACCUGAAUUGUCCUGGGACAAUUCAACUCGACAACAAACAAACAAACAAACAAAAAACCCAAACAAACAUACAGGAAAAAAACAACACUUUUUAUUUAAAGAAAAAUAGGAAAGCUCUGGAAAAAAACACCACUGUACCCAUGUCCUCUGCCCCUCUGGGACUACUUUUAUAUUUGUGUCUCUUACGCCUGCCUUUCCAGCAACCAUGCGGACUCGUCUGUGGAAGGGAGAACGGUCUGAGGCAGCACAACGUGGUGAUGUGGAGUGUGUUCAUACAGUUACACACAUUUCUCAUUAUUAAGGUUCAAUUCCCAGUCCCUGGGUGCAGAAGGCAGUUUAAUAAACAUGACAGCUUGGGAUGGGUAGCUUCAACUUCUCUAUAACACCUAGUGAGGACUGAGAAACAUUUUGGACCCUACACAUGAGACUCGUUCUAUGCUACAAGACGUGGAGCAGGGUUUUAAAGCAGCAAAUGUGCUUAUAUCCCUUGUGAGCAGGAACACAGCUCAACGCUGCUGUGUGUCCUCCGAGCGAGGGCUCGGUAAGCUCCAUUGCUAAGCAGAUAGAUCAAUGUCAAGCCAUACCCGCAGCCUGUGCCUAGCAUGGAAGCUGGAUUUUGUAGUGCAUAAGCUGCCAGGAAGAAUAAUUAAAUAUACUGCAAGCUACCUUUGGUUUAAAAUUUGCAAGAGGAGAAAUGAAAAUCAGCAGAAGCCAGAAUGCAUCAGCAGAACUGUGUGGUGACUUGUCAACUGCAGUGAUUCUGAACUGUUUGCUUCACUUCUACUAGGAAAAUACCAUAAUCUGUGAUGUAUGUCCUUCAUAGCUGUACUCAUGUGUGUGUCUGUAUCUAUACAGAACCAUUUAAACGUAGUAAGCUUCUAGCUGUGAAGUGUCGAGACCAGAUAUUACUGAAGUAGCUUCAGACCUGCCAUCACACUGCCACUAUUUGGUGUUAAUGUAUGCUGACUUUUAAAUGCACUGUAUGUAUUCUUUAAUGUGAUGCAGUAAAUAAUACUGGGACCAUGCUAGGUUUUGUCAUCUGUUUCGUGCAAAGACCUACCACUCUGAGUUAUGGGGAAGGAAGUUCUUAGAGGGUCACCCAACACAAGAAUCCACUUUACCCCACACGGGUCUGGGAGGUGCCUGCACUCCACUUCAGACGUGACUACACUCUCCCUGUGAAGGCUGCCCUCGUGAGGCCUUCUGUGUGGAUGAGUACGGAAACACGAGAUGCUCAGCCUGAUGGACAGCUGCUAGUUGGGUCACAGGCACCUCACAAGACCUGGGAAGCCCCUUAUGAGCUCCAAGCGGGAUGCUGACCUUGAAGUCACAGCUCAGGUGUCCUCAGUCCUUCACCCUGGCUCUAAGGAGAGCGAAUAAGGUCUCACAUGCCAGUGUUGGGCCAUAAAAGUUUAUACAACCUCACAGUAUGAGCUGUUUGAUACUGUUAUUUAGUAGUCCGGCUGAGGUUGAUGUAUCAUGGCCACUUGGAUGUGAAAGG
Molecule: long non-coding RNA, 3152 nt
Organism: Anas platyrhynchos (mallard)
Lineage: Eukaryota; Metazoa; Chordata; Aves; Anseriformes; Anatidae
Source: RefSeq, a predicted model, not a curated record